RNAcentral lists this ribosomal RNA (174 nucleotides) under uncultured bacterium. RNAcentral describes it as "partial 16S ribosomal RNA". It matches the Rfam family "Bacterial small subunit ribosomal RNA", at positions 1319 to 1500 of the family's 1533-position model. The record is from RNAcentral.
CAUGAAGCUGGAUUCGCUAGUAAUCGCGCAUCAGCCACGGCGCGGUGAAUACGUUCCCGGGCCUUGUACACACCGCCCGUCAAGCCAUGGAAGCCGGGAGUGCCUGAAGUGCGUGAGCGCAAGCAGCGCCCUAAGGUAAAACCGGUGACUGGGGCUAAGUCGUAACAAGGUAAC